Callithrix jacchus (white-tufted-ear marmoset) is the source of this 37531-nucleotide non-coding RNA. NCBI's taxonomy places the organism in Eukaryota, Metazoa, Chordata, Mammalia, Primates, Cebidae. The record is from RefSeq and is a predicted model, not a curated record.
GUUAACCGCGCGCCGGCCGCGCACUCACCUGCUCCACUCCCCACCCGCGGACUCACCCUCACCCUCACCCUCGGCCACGUGCCGACACACCCCAGGGGGCCGGGUGGGUGUUGGGGGGACGGCAGCAUAGAGUUUUGUCAACUUUUACCCACCUGGGGGCAACUUGUCUCCAGCCCGUAGUCGUUACAGGCUUUAACCCCGGAAGGGUGUAUGGAAAAGCGAGGACAGCAGGGUUUCCCAGCUGGGUUGCCUGCUUGGUAUACGUUUUUUCAUUUUUAUCUGCGGAUAAUCCUGGUAGAGUGUAGGGACUGGAGUAUGAAAUCGAGAAUAAAGGGUGGACUUAGAAUAUUCCUACACCCAACGUUGCCAAGCGGAGCUACUGUGUAAUUGCAACUCAUAGUUUCUCCUUUGGCAAAAUUUCCCACUCCAAAGCCUGGGUAACUCAGCAGAAGAGGGUUGACUCAUAAAGGGGCACGAGAGAGGUGGCAAUAAUGUGAAUGCUAAAACUCCAACCAUCCUUCUGAACGUCUCCCCUGCAAAUGGGAGACUAAGGUUCUGCCUGGAGAAUUGUGUCACUUGGGGGGAAAUUCACUUUCCCUGCCGGGCAUCUGGCCGGUCAGCCUGGAUUCCAGGUUCUUCUGGGUGAAGAGCUGGUGAAGCGGUUUUUCUGGCUGCAUUUUCCGGAGCCGUUUCUGAGUGGUGUGGAAACAACUUUGCCUUUGUAAAUAGUUUCCCCACCGUGUGAGGAGCCUAGAAACUCUCUUUUGAGAUCUGAUGUCCCCAAUCCCCUAAUGAUUGAAUAUGAGUAGAAUAGGAACCUCCGUUUUGCACUCUUCGGGGCUGUGUGGAGUUACGUAGGGGAGAAGAGCAUUCGGUAGUAAACUGAAUUCAGUCUGGCUACAGCUGCAUUCUCACUUGUUUCUCUUCAGUGCUUUGUGCAUACCUCUGUCAGCACUAAUUAUGUGCAAUUAUUUUAUCUAUUUUCUCAGCCUAGCCUAACUAUAGAUGGAGGUGUCUGGGCUCUUCUAUUUAGUUGUGGGUCUCUCUUGAGCUUAGUUGCUGCAUGACAAGCAUGCUGAGCCAAUGAAUACAUAAACCCAUAGGUAUUGAAACAGACGAUUUCAGAUGAGACCUUGUCAUAUGGUGAUUGAUUUAAGCCCUAAACUAAGGACGUAAGUCAAUUUCCUGCUUACCUAGUUGUGGCCCUGCUGUGUGAAACUGAUGAAGUUUAAAGUAAGGGAGCCAGCAUUGCUAGUGUGUGGCCGCUGAUGCAACCCCCUGCUAUGCCAUAGCUCACCUCCUGGCCCACAAUACAGAGACGCCCUCCCCCACCAACCUUGUUUGUCUAGAGGAUUUGUGAUGUCUUCAGAGUCAAUUGCCACACCCUGGAUCCAGAAAGUGGAAAGCUAUUUGCUUUAGCUUGAUGAUUAACAUAACGGAAAAAAAGUUUUCUUGACUCAAGUGUGUGUUGGUUUGUGUGACAACGGGCAGGUGGGACCUGGGGCAAGUGUUAUUUGGACUAUAAACUGUUGGGCACUUGCUCAACUUGCAAUACUUAAUGUAAAUACCUAGGCAGGGGUUGGGGUGGGGAGGAAGGCAGGUCAUUUUAUUUUAGGCACCAUCUUUUAAUAGGUCCCUUCUUUUCUUCGUCUCCUUGCUUUCAGUUUAAUGAAUAAUGUCUUGGCAAAGAGUUAAAAAAUCUCUCUCACCCAAAAGGAGGAAGAAAUUUAUCUGCAACUGAAAAUAAACUUAGAGAAAGAGACAAAAAAUCAAGCAGUUUUGUGACUUUCUUAAAACAAAAACUGAAAAGUGAGUUUUGUAGAAACCUCUAACAUGACAUUCUUAGAAUACUUUGUCAUUUGUCACAGGCAAAUUUGUCACAGACCCUCUGGAGAAACCCUUUGGGUCUUGUAGAUAUGAACCUUCUUGGCUCAGUGUAGCCGGCUUAUCCUCAGCCCAAGUUUUUCAAAAUCAACUGCUAAUAAAAGAAGCAGAGGCCAUGCUCAGAACAGUGUCUCUUAUUCUGAGCCAAAGUGUCCAUUCUCAAUGCAAUGGUAGUCAUCGAAUACCGUAAGUGAAAUAUCACAAUCCUGUCUUUUGUAGCUUAGCCCAAUAAAGGGAUUCCCAGUUGAAGGAGCUUAUUAAGACCACCUCAAGAGUUUUUAAAACACAUACCUACUUCUUUGCAUUCUGAAAUGCAGUGUGGAUUUCAGGGUUUCUAUAUAGGAGAGGCUUUGAAAAUGUAAUCUGGUUGCCUGAGAGGUCAAAGGGAGAUGUUUUAAAGAAACGUUUAUAUAGCAAGUGCACCUUUUUAACCUAGAUUCCUUUUUUGUUUAUUGGGGGAGUAGAUGGAGACUAGUAUUCCAGCCAUCACCCAUUUGCACCCCACUGCAUGACAUGCGCCCCCUUGUGGAGAGUUACUACCUCUACCUGCGGUACACCCAGUAAGGAGAACCCCUGGAAAAGUUUCAAUGCCUGCAUUCCAGACAUAGAUUCCCCCACAGAAUUAACAUAACCUCCCUGAGCCUCAGUGUCUUCAUCUGCAAGAUGGGAAUAAAGAAACCUGUUGGACUUGCUUACCUUACAGGGCUGCUGUAUGGACGAACACCUUGAGAAUGAAAGACGUGUAUCAAAAUCUGCUGCAAGUAGUUUUACAGUUCAAAUGAAAUGAACAUGAAACUGUCUCUUCUCAAGUACCGCCCUAUCUUCUUCCUUUACUGGAGUUUAUAUUUCUCAUUUUUAUAACACUUUCUUUUUGUACUAUAGUGUAAUGCUAGGAGACUAUUCCUGUGGGACCACGGGAGUUUAAUAGAAUCUGGAGAAAGAGAAUCAUAGCAAUAGCUAACAUUUCUGGAGCACUUACUAUGUGCCAGCCUUGCCUGUUACACUUAGAGUAACCCCCUGAGGCCAAUACUGUUGUUAUUGUUCAUUUUACUGAUGAGGAAAUUAAAGUUUACAGAUAUUAAGGUUUUUUUGCCUAAAGUAACAUGGUGUCCAGGCAAGGAGGCUCACACCUGUAAUCCCAGCACUGUGGGAGGCUGAGUGGGCGAAUCAUGAGGUCAGUAGUUCAAAACCAGCCUGGCGAACAUGAUGAAACCCCAUCUCUACUAAAAAUACAAAAAUUAGCCAGACAUGGUGCCAUGUGCCUGUAAUCCCAGCUACUGGGGAGGCUGAGGCAGGAGAAUCGCUUGAACCCAGAAAGUGGAAGAUGCAGUGAGCGGAGGUUGUGCCACUGCACUCCAACCUGGGCAACAGAGCAAAACUCUGCCUUAAAAAUGUGUUUUUUUUAAUAAGAAUAAAUAAUAAAAUAACAUAGGCAGGAAGAUUCCAGAUCUAUCUGACAUAAAAGCUUAUACUUUUAACUUUUGGGCAAUACUGAUGCUAUGAGCUUCCACUUGGAACUGUGUACUUGAACCAGUUGGAGUUACUGGGUUCAAAGCAUUAUUUAUUUAUUUAUUUUUGAGGCGGAGUUUCGCUCUUGUUACCCAGGCUGGAGUGCAAUGGCGUGAUCUCGGCUCACCGCAACCUCCGCCUUCUGGGUUCAGGCAAUUCUCCUGCCUCAGCCCCCUGAGUAGCUGGGAUUACAGGCAUGCGCCACCAUGCCCAGCUAAUUUUUUUUGUAUUUUUAGUAGAGACGGGGUUUCACCAUGUUGACCAGGAUGGUCUCAAUCUCUUGACCUUGUGAUCCACCCGCCUCGGCCUCCCAAAGGGUUCAAGGCAUUCUAUCCCACUCCUCAGCUAUGCUGAAGUGCUGGGGAAAACUUGGCAGGAAACAGCAAUUGUGUGGUCCACUCAAAAGGGACGGAGAGCAAGGAGGAGUGAGUCUUUUUUUUUUUUUUUUGAGUCUUAUAGAACUAAUGCACCAAGUGUCUGCUGUCAAAAUGAAGCUGCUGUGGCAAGGCCCAUCCCUACCAUGGUUAAACACAUGGCCAUCAAGGAGGCUAAAUGUAAUCCAAACUUACAUAGUGAAUAAACUUUGCCCGUUAAGCUGGUGUUUAGCCAGCAUUCAUUAAAGUUGAGAUCAGAAAUCUUCACACUGCAAGCUGAUUUCUCAUUUUUAGGAGUGGGAGCAGGGACUGCGCAUUCAGCCAUGCAGGUAUUGAACCCCGUAAGUCCAGCAACAGCAUUCACAUAGACCAUAGUGUCAAUGGCAUCCUCUGGAGCUGGGCACAGUGCACCCACACAAACAUCCUUGGUGGCAGCUCCGGGUCAGGGGGUACAGAGGAGUUUUUUGUUAUCAGAUUAAUAGUAAAAAAGUAAUUUGAAAUAGGUCAACUUUUUGUGACUGAAGCUACAGGGAAAUUAAUUUAUCCAUAACUUUGUUGAGAUCAAGAAGUUCAGAAUGUUCUGGAAAACUCAUGUUGGAAUGCAGAGGUGGGUGGACCCAAUAAUCCCAUAAUACAAAAGGUCUUCUAUGGAACUGGUCUGGAAAAAGUGGAAACUCAAAGGAGAAAGUCAAGGACGGUUGUUGACAUUAACCCUGUCCACUAGCGCUCCCCUUCAGCAAUGCUCCCCUGGAAUGUUUGCCUAAGACGGUCUGAAGCCUCACUGUCACCCUCACUUUCUCCAGUGGUGGAAGUGGGAAUGAAUGAUUGAGCAGGAAGAUGGGAGCAAGUGAGGGGCAGUGAAUUUCUGGAAUAAAAUAUCAGGACUGGAAGAAAAUUUGAAUUUUAAGAAAUCUUAUUUUAUUUAGGAUGUACAGAUUUUUAAAGAAUACCCAAUACCCUGGGAUUCGAGUCUUGAAACCUAGGUUUUUUAUCUUCUACUAGUUUCACUUUUACAAGAAAUUUCAUCUUUUUAGGACUUUGUUUCCAUUACUGCAAAGCAUAGGGAGCUGGGUUAAGCCAUCUCUAAACCUUAUUCUGUCUUAAAUCCUAUAAAUUCAGACGCAGUGCACAUUACUAAUAACAAAAUUUUAACACCCCUUUUAUUAUUGUAAAGUUAGUCUCACAAAUAACAUAGCCUAACUCUGAUUUAAGUUUAAACAUCAAUAGAAUGUCCUACUGGUAAUAUAAAAAAGAAAUAAAAUAAAUUGUUAAAAAAAAAACCACAUUUCAAUAGAUAAAUGCAUGGACACAACUACACCAGAGGUCAUAAUGAAAGAGCUAGAUGUUCACACCUUUAUGUUAAGUCGCUACCAAUGCACAGCUGCACAUGAGGAGGAGUAGGGCUGUGUGGCAUUAUUUAGGAGCUAGACAAGGCUUUCACUGUGAAGGACUGCACCAGGUGUUCCAGGAUGUCCAGGUUCCCCAGCUUCCUUCACUAAAUGCCAGCAAUGUGACACUCCUCCUGCACUUCAUCCUUAAAAAGCCUUCAUAAAUUUCUGAACUGCCACUGGGGAGGGAGGUAUGGACCCUCCACCUUCUCGAGAACAAGUGUUCUGUAAGAAUGCUAAUUCUACCUCAUCACUUUAUAGUGCCUAAUCUUUUGCAAACUCUUUUUCCGAAGGUAAUAAUAGCUAACACAUGCAAAACGUUGUGCCACAUGCUGUUUUAAGCACUUUACACAGAUUAACUCACUGGAUUCCAAUACUAUUAGUAUCCCUAUUUAACAGACAAGAAAACUGAGGCAGAGACUUUAAGUCACUUGCCAAAAACCCACCGUGAAUAACUGCUGAGUCUUUGAUUCAAGCACAGGCCUGUAGCUGUUAAUCCUCAUAAAUGGCCCUAGGAGAUAAAUAGAUCAGGGAUGUUUAUCCCCAGUUUGUUGAUCAGGAAAUUGAAGCUCCAAAUGUUGGAAUGACUUGUCAGCAUUGGUCCUCUAUUUUCUUUUCUGGUGUACUAGUUUUCUACUGCUGCAAUAACACAUUUCUAGAAACCCUAGUAAAUUAAAACAACACAGAUUUAUUACAGUUUUUAAAGUCAGAAGUCUGACAUAGGUCUCACUGAACUAACAUCAUUAGCAAAGCUUUAUUCCUUUCUGGAUGUCUAGGGGAAAACGCCUUUAAAAAAAAAAAAAUCUUUUCCAGAAGUCAGGUCCCUAGAGAUCGCCCACACGCCUUGGUUAUCGGUCCCAUUCCAUUUCUAAAGCUUGCGAUGGCAGCCUAAAUCCUUCUCACAUCAAAUUACUCCGGUCUCUUUUCUGCUUUCCUUUCAUUUGUAAGGACCCUUGUGAUUACUUUGGUCACUGACAAAUACACCAAGAUAACUCUCUAUUUUAAUGUCAUCUUAUUAGCAACCUUAAUUCCGUCUUCAACCCUAAUUCUCCUUUGUCAUGUAAGGUAACAUAUUCACAGAAUCUGGAGAAGACUAGGAGGUGGACAUCUUUGGAUAGGGGGAUGGACAUUUUUCUGCCUACCAAAUCUAGUUUGCUGAAGUUGUAAUGAUAAAAAAUAUUCUGGGUUAGAUGAUGAACCUCACCUUUAUAGAUAAUCACUCCCUCUCUCAUUGCAAGGGUUUCUCAUUAAUUUACAUAUUUCUCUUUUAACAAGUAAUUUAUUGUCAUUUAUGUACUAUACACUACCAGGACAUUGCCUUCUAGAAGCAACAUUCUAUUGACAGAUACAGAUGAGUGCCAUGCAGAUACCUACAGGAGGGAGGAAAAAUGGCCAUAUUACGGAUAUUAUGAGAUGCUGUGGUAGCCCGUGGGAAGGGUAUCUGGUCCGUUCUUAGACAGGGCAGUAUAGAAGGCAAAUGUUUUCAGGCAGUCCAAAAAAGAGGUUGGGCCUCAGCUGUAGCUCAGUGUGGUUAAGAGGGCAGAAUGUGAUCUUAAGACUUUGCUGAGAGGCAAGAGUGGGGGAAAAAAAAGUGGAGAAUUGAGGACCAAGCCUUGUGGAGCUUAUUACAGAAUUGGAUUUCAGUUUGAGGGUGAAAUGUUUUAAGCAGGGAAAUGUCAUGCUUCGUUUUGCAUUUACGAAAGAUAACCCUCUAGAGUAACAUGAGGUUGGUAAGGCUCCAGUAAAAUGGAAGUGCCAGAGAGUGGGUGGCUUCCUGCUCUCUUCCUACUCUCCUUUCCAAACAGGAGCUGGAAAUCAGAUGAUCUAACCCUUCAUCAGGCCCAUUCUGGUGUAUACUUCACAAACUGAAGACACUGCGAGGUGGACACAAGGAAAGCAAAGAGUUCUCAGAAAUGCAGGACACUGGAAGAAAAAAAGAUUUUGAACUGGAGCUGGUUUCUGGAAUGGAACGCUUCAUAGAUUGUUCCCUGAUAGAUCACAUUUGGGAACAGCAUUUCUUCACGGGCAGCCUGUGUCCUCUCUCUUGGAUCUCAACUUGCUUCAUCUCUUUAGCAGCAUGAUUAGAAGUGGUUACUGCAACUGCUGUGGAAAAAUCCACCAGGAGGUUAUCGUAUUUAAUGUUUCAGAAAACUUGCUUUUGAAGGUGAUAACAGUAUUUCAUAAUCACUGUGCUUUUGGGCAAGCACAGAUGUGUUGCAUACCGUUAAAUCACUCUCUCCUUAGAAUGUAAUGUUGUUCUUUGAAAGCAUUUAGUUCUCCUUCCACCUUUCUUUCCCCUCACCCUCUCCUUAUGCCAAAGAAGGUACAUUUCCCAGACUUACUCUCUACACCCAGCAAGGUAUUCAUUCCUUCAGCAAUCCUGAGUGAUUUUUUUUUUUUAACUCAUUCCUUCCCAGUUGCAUCUCCAAGCUCAUGAUACAUGUUGCUUAAUCAUUUCAGGUCUGCACAGACUGAGCACCUCCUAGUAUGGACUCCUAGAGUGGAUUCCAGAGAUAGAAACAUAUCAACAAACCACCAACACAUAGACCUAUAUAGAGAGGCCGCCACCUUUUCUUUUCUUCCAAUAGAGUUUGCCUUGAAUUACAGUCAGGGAGAAUCAUAGUGUAAUAGACACUUCAAUCCCAGUAACAAAAAAAGGUGGCUUGAAAUUGUAUUUCAGUCAAUAUUGAUUCCAUUAAAAGUACGAGUGUUGAAAAGGAAAUGAUGGAGAAGCAGAGGGCCUCUUAUGUGAGUCAGCUAGUGUACAACCAACUACCUUUGCAUAAAAUAAAAUCUCAAACCUUUGGUAUACCAUCAAAACUUGCUGCAAUUUUACCUUCAACUUCAAAUUGGAAAGUUUUCCAAUAUCCCAAGUUGACACGACACUUUGACUAAAUUAUCCUACCUACCUUCUAAAAACACUAAAAUAUAGGACUUGGCAUAGUACCUGGCUAGCAGCAGGAAACUAGUUUAUAUUUGGAGAAGAAUAAAUGAAUGAGUGAAUAUGAAUGUGUUUCUUCCGCUAUUGCCAUUAAAAAAUAUUUAAAAGCUUUAUGGGUACAAGUAGAUUUUUGUUAUAUGGAUGAAUUUUUUAGUGGUGAUGUCUGGAAUUUUAGGGAGCCCAUCACCCAAGUAGUGUACACUGUACUCAAUAGAUAGGUUUUCAUCACUUACCUCCACUCACUCUCCCCUUUUAUAAGUCUCCAGUAUGCAUUAUAUCUCUCCGUAUGCAUUUACGUACCCAUAGCUUAGCUCCUACUUGUAAGUGAGAACAUGCAGUAUUUAGUUUUCAAUUCCUGAGUUACUUCACUUAGAAUAAUGGCCUCUUGUUUCAGCCAAGUUGUUGCAAAUGACAUCGUUUUGUUAUUUUUUUAUAGCUGAGUGGUAUUCCAUGGCGUGUGUGUGUGACUGUGUGUCCAUGUGUACUUCUUUACUACUCUUAUAUGUAUGAGUAGUACCUACUCAUUGGUUGAUAAGCAUUUCAGUUGUUUCCAUAUCUUUGUAAUUGUGAUUCAUGCUGUGAUUAAUAUACCCAUGCAGGUUUCAUUUUAAUAUAGCUAUUGUUUUCCUUUGGAUAAAUACUCAGUAGUGGAAUUGCUGAAUUGCUGCAUACUGUGUUCCAUAAAGGUGUACUAAUUGACAUUCCCACCAGCAGGGCAUAAGUGUUCCAUUUUCAUUAUAUCCACACCACCAUCUAUUGUGUGUUUUCUGUUUUGUUUUGUUUUUACUUUUUAAUAAUGUUCAUUCUGAUUGGGGUAAGGUAGUAUCUUAUUGUAAUUUUAAUUUGCAUUUCCCUGAUGAUUGAUGUUGAGCAUUUUUUCCAUGUUUGUUGGAAUUUGUAUAUCUUCUUUUGAGAAAUUCAUUAUUUCAAACAUUUGUGAUAUUUGCCCACUUCUUAAUGAGAUUAUCUGGGUUUUUUUCUUGCUGAUUUGUUUGAGUUCCUUGUAGAUUUUGGAUGUUAGUCCUUUGUUAGAUGCAUAAUUUGCAAAUAUUUUCUCCCAUACUGUAAGUUGUUUGUUUACUCUGAUUAGUAUUUCUUUUGCUCUGGAGAAGUUUUCAGUUUAACUAGGUCCAGUUUACUUAGCACAGUUCUAUCUGCCUUAGAGGCUUUAGUCAUAAAUUAUUUGCCUAUGCCAACGUCCAGAAGAGAUUUUCCUAGACUUUCUUCUAGAAUUAUUAUGGUUUUAGGUCUUAAAUUGAGGUCUUUGAUCAAUUUUGAGUUAAUUUUUGUAUAUGGUGAGAAAUAGGAUCCAGGUUUAUUCUUCUACAUGUGGCCAUUCAAUUUUCCUAGUGCUAUUUAUUGUGUCCUUUCUCCAAUUUGUGUUUUUGUAUCCUUUGUCAAAGAUCAGUUGGUUGUAUUUGAGUUUAUUUAUAGGUUCUCUACUCUAUUCCAAUGGUCUGUGUGUCUACUUUCAUACCAGCACCAUGCUGCUUUGGUUACUACAGCAUUGUAAUAUAAUUUGAAGUCAGGUAAUAUGAUGCCUCCGAUUUUUUCUUUUUGCUUAGGUUUGCCUUAGGUAUUUGGGCUCUUUUCAAGUUUCAUAGGAAUUUGAGGAUUUUUUUUUUGAAUUGUGUAAAAAUUGAUGUUGAUAUUUUCAUAGAAAUUGAAUUGAAUCUGUAGAUUGCUUUGGGCAGUAUGUCCAUUUUCAUGAUACUGAUUCUUCCAAUCCAUGAACAGGAGAUGUAUUUCCAUUCAUUUGUGUGAUCUAUUAUUUCUUUCUGCAUUGUUUUGUAGUUAUCCUCAUAGAUCUCUUUUCCCUCCUUGGUUAAGUAAAUUACUAAAUAUUUUAUUGUUUUGUUGCUAUUGUAAAAGGAAUUGUGUUCUUGAUUUUAUUCUCAUCUUGGUUGUUGUUAGUGUGUAGCAGUGCUGCUGAUUUGUAUACACUGAUUUGGUAACCUGAGACUUUACUGAAUUAAUUUUCUACUUAUAAUAUUAUAUCAUAGACAAACAGAAAUUUGACUUCCUUUUUUUCAAUUUGGAUGCCUUUUAUUUCUUUCUCUUCCCUGAUUGCUCUGAUUAGGAUUUCUGGUAUUAUGUUGAAUAGAAGUGGUGAAAGUGGGCAUUCUUGUCUUGCUCCAGUUCUUAAGGGCAGUGCUUUCAAUUUUUCCCCAUUCAGUAUGAUAUUGGCUAUGGGUUUGUCUUAUAUGGAUUUUGAGUAUCCUUAUAUGGAUCAUUAUUUUGAGGUACGUUCCUUGUAUGUCUGGUUUGUAUCAUAGAGAGUUGCUGGACUUUAUUGAAUGUUUUUUCUGUGUCUAUUGAGAUGUUCCUAUGGCUUUUAUUUUUAAUUGUUUAUGUGAUAAAUCCCAUCUAUUGACUUGCAUAUGUCAAACAUGCCUCUGCAUCCCUCGGAUGAAACCCACUUGAUCAUGGUGAAUUACCUUUUUUGAUGUGCUGUUGGAUUUGGUUGGCUAGGAUUUCCUUGAGGAUUUUUGUAUCUAUAUUCAUCAAAUGCAUUGGUCUGUAGCUUUCUCUUUUUUUGUUUUAUUAUUUCCUGGCUUUGGUAUUGGUGAUACUGGCUUCAUAGAAUGAGUUAGGAAGGAUUCUCUCAAUCUUUGGAGGAGUUUCAGUAGAAUUGGUACCAAUUAUCCUUUGAAUGUCUAGUAGAAUUUGACUGAGAAUCUGUCUGGCCAUGGGUUUUUUUUGUUGUUGUUGGCAGUAUCUUUUUUUUUAAUUACUGAUUCAAUCUUACUGAUUAUUAUUGAUCUGUUCAGGAUUUCUAUUUCUCCCUGAUUUGAGCAGGGGGAUUAUAUGUUUUCAGAAAAUUAUUCAAUUUCUCUAGAUUUUCUUUUUUGUGUGCAUAGAGUGUUCAUAGUAGUCUCAAAUCAUCUUUUGUAUUUUUGUAGUGCCAGUUGUAAUGUCUACAUUUUCUUUUCUAAUUGAGCUUAUUUGAAUUUCUUCUCUUCUUGAAUACUCUAGGAAGCAACUUUUCAAUUUCUUUAAUCUUUACAAAAAAAAACAGAUUUUUGUUUCACUGAUUUUUUUUCUUUUGGUUUCAAUUUCAUUUGAUUCUGCUCUGAUCCUUUUUAUUUCUUUUUACCUGCUAGCUUUGGGUUUGGUUUGUUCUCUUUUUCUAGUUCCUUGAGUCAUGACAUUAAAUUAUCAGUUUUUGAUCCUUCAAACUCUCUGAUAUAGGUGUUAAGUGCUGUAAACUUUCUUCUUAGCAUGGCUUUUGCUAUAUCCCAGAGUUUUUGAUAACUUGUGUCACUGUGAUCAUUCAUUUUGGAAAAGUCUUAAAUUUCCCUCUUUGUUUUGUUAACACAAAAAUCAUUCUGGAACAGAUUUGCUUAAUCACUAUGUAUUUGUAUGCCUUGAAAGAAUUGAUUUCUGAUUUGAUUCUGCUGUGCUCUGAGAAGAUACUUGAUACUGUUUCAAUAACUUAAAAUUUAUUGAGACUUCUUUUGUGGCCUAUCCCAUGGUCUAUCUUGGAGAAUGUUUCGUGUGCUGAGGAGAAGAAUGUGUAUUCUGAAGUUCUUGGAUAGAAUGUUCUGUGAGGGUCUUUUAGAUCCAUAUGUUCUAGACUACAGUUUAAGUCCAGUGUUUCUUUGUUGAUUUUCUGCCUCAAUGAUCUGUCUAGUGCUGUCAGUGGAGUUGAAGUCCCUCACUAUUAUUGUGCUGCUGACUAUUUCUUUUCCUAUAUCUAAUAGUAACUGCUUUAUGAAUCUGGGAGCUCCAGCAUUAGCUGCAUAUGUAUUUAGAAUUGCUACAUCUUCUUGUUGAAUUGAUCAUUUUAUCGUUAUGUAAUGACUUUCUUUGUCUUUUCCUUUUGCUGUUUUUGCUUUAACAUCUGUGUUAUCUAAUAUAAGAAUUGCUACUACUGCUUGCUUUUGGCUUCCAUUUCAAUGAAAUAUGUUUUUCUACCCCCUUACCUUGGGUCUAUAAGAAUUCUCACAUGUUAGCUGUAUCUCUCAAAGAUAGCAGAUAUUUGGUUUAUGAUUUUUUAAUCAGUUAUGCCAAUCUAUAUAUCUUAAUUGGAUGAUUUAGACCAUUUACCUUCAACAUUAAUAUGGAGAUAUGAAUGUGAAUGGCUAUUCCAGUCAUCAUGUUGUUACCUAGUGACCUUAUUUUAUUACUUGUCUUAUUGUUUUAUAAACCCUGUUAAUUUUAAGCUUUCAGGAGUGUCUAUUCCAAUAUGCAACAGCCUUUUGUUGCAAGAUUUAGAAGUCCUUUUAGCAUUUCUUAUACGGCUGGUCUAGUAUUGACAAAUUCUCCCAGCAUUUGCUUAUCUAAGAAAGACUUUAUUUCUUCUUCAUUUAUUAAAUUUAGUUUUGCUGUAUGCAAAAUUCUUGGCUGACAGUUAUUCUAAUUAAGGAGACUAAAGAUAGGACCCCAGUCCCUUCUAGAUGUCAUUUCUACUCAGCAGUCUCCUGUUAGUCUGAUAGAUUUUCCUUUACAGGUUACCUGAUGCUUUUGUCUCACUGCUGUUAGAAUUCUUUGUUUCAGGUUGAGUUUAGAUAAUCUGAUGACUAUAUGUCUUGAUGAUUUUCUUUGUGCAAUGAAUCUUCCAGGAAUUAUUUGAGCAUCUUUUAUUUAGAUGUUUAAAUUUCUAGCAAGACCAGGGAAGUUUUCCUUCAUUAUUCCCUCAAAUAGGUUUCCCAAACUUUUGCUUUUUGUUCUCCUCAGGAACACCUAUGAUUCAUAGGUUUGGCCAUUUUACAAAAUCCCAUAUUUUAUUCAUUUCUCUUAAUCUUUUUUCUUUUUUAUUUUAGUUUGACUGGGUUAAUUUAAAAGCUUUGUCUUCAGGCUCUGAAUUUCUUCUACUUGAUCUAGUCUAUUGUUAAAGCUUUCCACUGCAUUUUAUAAUUCCCUAAAUGUGUCUUCCAUUUCCAGUAAUUCUGAUGUUUUUUCUUUAAAAUAUGUAUCUCUUUAAAAUUUCUUUUAUUCAUGUCCUGAGUUGUUUCUGAAAUGUACUUUUACUGCUUUUUACCUUUCUCCUGUAUCUUUAUUAGUGACUUAAUAAACCACCUUUUGAAUUUUUCAUCUAGUAUUUCAAAGAUUGCAUUUGGGUUUGGAUCUACUGCUGCGGAGUUAGUGUACUCUUCUAAGGGUAGUAGAGAACCCUGUUUUUUUCAUAUUGCCUGAAUUAUUUUUCUCAUUUUUUUUCUUUUUUAGGUAGACUAUUUUAUCUAAUUAUUUUAAAAUUUAUUUUUGAUUCAAUUAAAAAAAAUUUUUUUCUUGUGAAUGUGACUCUAAGGUUUAUAGUUUAUUGUCACCUAGCUUCAGCUCUGGGUGUUUCCCAUGGUGAAUACUCUGUAAAAGUUUCUUGUUUAUAGAAAAUCUUUAUGUAAUGGCUUUCUCAGAUGCUAGUUGUCGCAGUGAUGUGCUGGGUAUGUGAGCAGGUUCACCAUCUCCUGUUGGGCUGAGAUAGCAGAGGUCUCAUGAAGCUUAUCUAUUCCCCAGUGGUAUGCAUUUUUAAAAAUGUUUUUUCCCUAGUAAUUUCUUCAUUGGGUUGAGCAGUUUAUGCUUCAGGUGAAUGGGAGAUGGCUAUGGUUAAAAUCUGGCUAUGGCUAAAGCAGGUGGAUGGACACAUUACCCUAAUUGUGUGCCAAGGUCUCAGACUUGACAGAGGUAGGUGGGGAAGCUUUCAGUGAAAUGCACUUAAAUCUUUCAAGGGAAAGGGAAGGAACCACCACAGCCUCCAUUUCAAGCCAGUAGGAAAGUGAUCCUCCUACCAGCCACAUUCUUGACCUGGUAUUCUGGCUAUUCAGAUCAGACCACUACCUCUUUUCAUCUGUAGGAAUGCUGAUGUGCUAUGUAGGGAGGGAUUGUGACUCUGCCUCCCAUUCAAGCCCAAACUUGGAGGGUACUCCUCCUGCAGGAAUGCAGUUACCCUGAAGUAUUCCAGAAAGGCUGUCUACAGAUGUACCCAUGCUCAACUCCAGUGGUAAAACCCCAGCUGUGUCUGCAGCGGUGGGCAAGGGGGAUAAGCCCCUUUUCUAAAACCCUUCAUGAGCACCAGGGAUGCCUAACUGUUGGGCUAGAUCUCCAGACUUUUCUCACUGAACCCAGCACUACACCUGUGCCUCUGCUGAAACAAAUUUCCCACAAUUAGAAAGUGCAGGGAUGCAAGGCCUGCAACCUGAUCUGUUUUGCCCCACAGGGUGCUCCCUUAAUGUGGUGCAUGCCAUCUUCCCUAGGAGUAACAGCAGUCCCUGAGGGCCAGAUUACUGGAAAUCCCUCUGCUCCUUUUAGUCUAGCCAUCCAGUGGAGUGUCCAUACCCCAGACUGUUGCUGGGGAAUGUCUGCAGAUGAUUCAGUGGUGUGACCUGUUCUCUAGUCUCCCAGCAGCAGGUACUGCGUCAGCCCUGAUGGAAGUAGGCGGGAAGUUAUGUAGAUUGUGUGAGAUUUCCUUGGUUAUAAAUAGCCUUAGUGUGUUGGCUUUCUCAAAUUUCUCAAAUGCCAGCUGUAGUAGUAAUGUACUGGGCACAUGUACAGACUCAAGACCUCCUGGUUAAUCAGCGUAAUGCAGGCAAUGGCAAUAGCUGAGGUUGUGCAGGUUUUUUCUUCCUGAGUGCUGUGUUAUUGUACCUGCAGAUGUUGUAAUGGGCUGUGAUGGCUGGCUUCCAGCCAGGAGGUGGCACUAGCAGAAGAGCACCAGCUGCGGUAGUAGCAAUGGGAUUUGUGCUUGCCUUGUGUUUCCCAGGGUAGGUACUUUGGUGUCUCAGGCAGUGAGUGGGACCAUGAAGCACCCAAAAUUCCCUGUUCAUUGUGUCACACUACCAGGGUGGGUGGAGGGGCAAAGCUACGUGGGGGCCAGGUCAGAAAGGUCCAUGAACUGGCUUCCCAUGUGCAGGCUCAAGCAACAGCCCCAGUGGGGAUCAGAGGGCAGUUCCCUGGCUGCUGUAGUAAUGUUCCAGUGAGGAGAAUAGCUGCCUCCACUGCACAAAGGGAUCUGCAUGGACAGUGGGGAGUAGCAGGUGGCAGUAAGCUGCACUCAGCCCCCACACAUUUGGCAAGGGAGGUCUGACACCCACAGUGUUCUGCUAGCAACAGCUAGCUAGGUUCCAGGCAGCCUGUACUUAGAACCCAAGACUGCCCCAGGCCAUAGUCUUCUUGACUGAGGCAGAAAUCGUGGCUUUCGGGCCAUCUCCCUCCUGAUCCACCCAGGAAGCAGAAGUGCUCAACUCCUGUGCUUACUUCCUGCUUUCUCAAUGGUUCUGAUCAUAAGGGUUCAUCCCCACUCAAGAUUAUAUCAUGAAUCUCAGUUGGGACCUUCUCUCAACCUGUGAACACUGGCUAAAUUAUCUGGCAGACUUCUGCAAGGUCCCCUGUGAGGUGGAAUCGAGAAUGGUUUCCCUCCAUCCCUGCUGUAGUCUGGGGGUGCACUCAAAUGAUAUCCCAAUUCUACUCCUUCUCAUAUAUUCCCCAGUACUCACUAAAUCAGCUCCAGCUCUUAGUAGGGUUGAGACCUUCCCCCUUGGCCUGGACUGCCUGGCUCCCUAGUGUAGAAUUGUGUCAUGGAGACAGUCUUUCCCACCUUAAACUCUACAGACUCCCAGUUCACCUGUGGGCUGCAGCCCACGGCUUAUUUCCGAGAGUCUGCAGUUUCUUUCAGUUUUUCAUUUAAAUCCCAGUGUUGUUUCUUGGAAAACUGUUUACGGCAUGAGUCUCAACACAAUAUUUUGUCUUUUCAAGUGGAAGAGGCAUACUUACAAUGCAUCCAGUCCACCAUCUUAGAAAAAAAAAAUUCUGCCAUUGCCAUUUUUAACAUCAUUUUGGUAUUCCACACUAAGAAUAUUCCAAUUCCAAAUUCUGGAGAGAGAAGGGACCUGAUUAGUGUAAUUUGGGUCAGGUGUCUCUCCUUUGUUCAGACAGCUAUGUCCAGGAAAUCAGGCCAUAUAGCUAGAUGCCCACUUAGCCAGGACUCUGAGCAUACUUUCUGAGAAUUGGCUCCCAGGUAUUCCUGCCACAUCAUGGAGUAGCUUAUGAAAAGCAAUUUAUUGAGAUAUUAUAGGAGAUCUAAUCUAGUCAUCCCACUGUAUCUGAGGUGAAUUGGUUCCAGGACUCCCUUGAAUACUAAAAUAAUUGGAUGCUCAAAUCCUGUAUUAAAAAAUGGUGCUGAUCAAGUGCAGUGGCUCACGCCUAUAAUCCCAGCACUUUCAGAAGCUAAGGCAGGCGGAUUGUCUGAGGUCAGGAGUUUGAAACCAGCCUGGCCAAUGUGGCGAAACUCCAUCUCCACUAAAAAUACAAAAAUUAGCCAGUUAUGGUGGUAGGAGCCUGUAAUCCCAGCUACUCGGGAGGCUGAGGCAGGAGAAUUGCUUGAGCCCAGGAGGCGGAGGUUGCAGUGAGCAGAGGUCGCAUCAUUGCACUCCAGCAUGGGCAACAGAGCAAGACUCCAUCUCAAAAAAAAAAAGGUGGAGUAUUUGAAUAUUACCUAUACACAUUUUCCAUAUACUUUAAAUCAUUUCUAGAUUACUCAUAAUACCUAAUACAACGUAAAUAUUGUAUAAAUUGUGGUUAUACUGUAUUGUUUUUUUCUUGCAUUAUUUUACAAUAAUUUUGUUUGUAAAAAAUUUUUGUUUUUAUUUAUCUAUUUGGAGUAUUUUCCUUGUGUGGUUGUUUGAAUCCUUGGAUGCAGAACUCACAGAUAUGAAGGGCCAACUGGAUCUGAAAGGGGCAGUAGGAAACAAGGAGUUUACUAAUUAUUCAUUCUUCUUUGCCCUCAAAGUUGGACAGAGAUUUAAGAAGCAGUGUCUGUAACUGGAAAAGACUAAAAGGGGUUACGAAGUGGUAUUUUCAGGGGAAAGCCAAGACUCUAUCAGGGCAAUUAGGAGGAAGAGGAGAGAGAAUUUGAAAAAAGAUCAAAAAUAGGAGAAAGGAUUUUUUUCCAUAAGAAUUUUAGGUUUUGGUUAGCGGUAUUGACAUUUUUUUUUUCAUCUUGGGAUUACAUAUGCAUUAUUGAAUGCCCAUGUGUAUUCAAUACAAUAGUCAAUGUGUAUUCUAUAUGCAUAACAUUACUUUCAUUUUAAAUAAUGCAUUCCAAGUCCAAGCAGAAAUAUUAUAAAUUUUAAAAAAGCAACCCAAGUUAGAUUGAGAUUUCCCCAUGAUUGUUGAAUGAUUCAGUAAAAAGUGAGUGAGUGAAUGAAAUUAGUUAGUGCAAACCAACCAAGAGUGAAAAGUAGGUGUAUUUGGAAAGUAUCAGUGUUAAAUAAUUUAUAUAAUUCACUUCCGUGAGAAAUACUUGCUAUUCUGUUAGAUUGCUAGCAGAACUUGUGUUCAAAAUUAAUCUCGAAUAGUUAGGCCAAGUCAGAUCAACAUAUUUGCAGAAGGUUUUUAGGUUAGUAUACAAUUGCACAUUAUAGACGAACUAUUGAUUAGACACACCCGUUUAGAGGAAUUUUUUCUCUCUAAAACUUCCUGUGAAGAGAUAGGUUUUUAGGAUAAAGACCUGGGCAUGAAGAGUUGGACAGAAAUCAAAGGGAAACUUGUUAUCCUUGUUUUUCUUUCUGAGUGAAAAGCAAAAGGUAAAUAUCAUGGUCAAAUGGAAAAGUAAAUUGGAUUUUAAAUUUUCAUGUGUAUUUUCCCAGUUUUAGGUGCUCAGAUUUCAUUUAGUGGUUCAGUUAUAAUUGACAAGACCCCUUAAAAUGUGACACAUCCACUUGAGGGUUGAAGUUUUUCAUGUAUCUGUUAGGUGAAUGCUUUUACAUUACUGGAUUGUAACUCUGUUAUUUAACAUGUGUCAUGUUUAUAACAUUUUAAAUGUGUGUCGGGGGUAUGUAUGUAUACAUAAUUAUGCAUAAUUUAAAUUAUUAUUAGAUCCUAGGAGAUAAUGUUGUGGUUUUAUGUUCUCCAUUUUAUUAAUUAGAGGAUUGAAAAAUAGGUAAACAUGCAGUAAAUCUAUAACCAAUAAAUGUUGUAUUUCAAUUGAUUUUUAACUUUUAAUGGGAUAUAUUUCCAGAAAAAAAGAAACUCUGAAUGUUUGAUGGAAAUUUUCAAGGAUUUUGUUGUCUCCUGGCUUCAUGGGUUGAAUUGUGUCUCCCCAAAAUUCAUGUAAUGAAAUUGUAACCCCCAUUAUCUCAAAAGAUGACUGCAUUUGAUUGUUGCAAAUAUAAUUAGUUAAAAUGAGGUUAUAUUGGGGUAGGGCGAGACCCUAGUCCAGUCACUGGUAUUCUUAUAAAAAGGGGAAAUUUGAACAUACAGACAUGCAUGGAGGGAAGACCAUGUAAAGAGACACAGCAAGAAGAUGGUCUAUCCACAAGCCGUGGAGAGAGUCCCAGGAUAGUUCCUUCUCUCGCAGCCCCUUAGGGAGCCAGCCCUGCUCACACCAUGAUUUUGGACUGUCUCCAAAACAAUGAGACAAUAGCAUUUCACUCUUUAAGCUACCUGGCUUGUGAUGUUUUGUGACGACGGCCCUAGCAAAUGAAGACACCUGGCUAUAUGUCAGUAGUAGCUUCCCUACAGAAUGCUACAGUCUCUCCCAUGCUAGAGACAGACAUUGUGUUAGAAAUUCCAAAUCCAUGCCCCAGCUCCUAGAACUUUCCCUGUUCUUCUUCUUAACAUGAGACAUUUAUAAUAUCUCCAUUAUAAAUGGAGCCGUGAUGUGAUUUUCCAGGAAGACCUAUAGAAUCACCUGAAAAUUCCUGAAUAAGAAUGAGUCCAUUCUCUGUUUUAUGGAAUUCAUAAAAAGAGGUAGGUAGGCCACCCACGUAUAAUACACAGACCCAGUAGGAAUCCUAGGCUCUUGCUUUGGCUCCAUGUUCCAUGGCCUUGGGUCACUCACUUAACUUAAUCUGAGUCUAAGUCUUUUUAUUUGUAAAAUAGAAGUUAGUCUUUUUGUGACUUUGUGAGUCUAAAUUCAAAUAUCUUUAUUGCAUAAGCCAAAGUAAGCAAAUAUGUAGUAAUAUCACUUAAUAGUUUUCAUGGUUAUUUUUCUCACCACUUUCAUAUGUUAUCCAAGUAAAAAAUAUCUUUGGUUAAAAUAAUGGCAAAGUACAGGAUAUCUUAUAAUGCAAAGUACAGCGUCUGCUUUAGCUGUCCCCAACCUCCUCAGUGCCUAGCUUACUUCACAGAGGAAACCACUUUUAACAGUUUCUAUAUUUAGCUCUUUUAGUGGUUACCACCCUAACUUUAAUAAUAUGCUCAUGCUGCAUUUCCUUGAUAAUCCACUCCAGACAUUAUCGCUUUGCUCCCCACCACUUACUACUUUUAAAGUGAAGAAUCACUGAUUCAGCAGAUAUUCCCGAUAGCCUGUAGGUCCACAGACCACUUUUGGAGUCUCACUUUCUAUGGAUCUAAUUUGAACAAAGAGCUUUUGCUUCAUUCAAAGGGAAACCAGGGAUUAGAUGGUCACGGGGCAUAGCACAGAGCGGGAAGGCAUUUGGCUUAAUUACUCAAGCUUAAAUUGGGCCUGAGUUGUAAUGAGUUUACUCUUAUAUUUUUCUGUCUGACCACAUUUAUUUUAAAUGAAAUUGAAACAAAAGGUGAACUUAAGGCCGGGCGCGGUGGCUCAAGCCUGUAAUCUUAGCACUUUGGGAGGCCGAGGAGGGUGGAUCAUGAGGUCAAGAUAUCGAGACCAUCCUGGUCAACAUGGUGAAACCCCGUCUCUACUAAAGAUACAAAAAAUUAGCUGGGCAUGGUGGCGCGUGCCUGUAAUCCCAGCUACUCAGGAGGCUGAGGCAGGAGAAUUGCCUGAACCCAGGAGGCGGAGGUUGCGGUGAGCCGAGAUCGAGCCAUUGCACUCCAGCCUGGGUAACAAGAGCGAAACUCCGCCUCAAAAAUAAAAAAAUUAAAAAAUUUAAAAAAUAAAUAAAUAAAAUAAGGUGAACUUAAAAUAUUGUAUGUUUCUUUUAUAAAAAGGAAAUUCUCUACCCUGAUAGCUCAUUACCGUAAGAAGUACCACUUAUUAAGACAUACUUAACAGGUAUGGUGCUUCAUUCUUCAAUUUUAAACAGUAACUAAACUGCUAUGAAGAUGUUAGCUGAUCAUUUGUGGUGUCAGUUUGAUUUUGGUUUCGCAGCUUUCCCCUUGUAGAAAUUUGCUAUUGGUUAUUCAAAGAAUAAGACACAAGAGAGAAAACAGAGUUGAAACCAUUACUGUUUCUUGGAAAAACAGCAUUUCUGCAAUUCAGAUUUUUCUGGAAAUGCUAUAAAGUAAAUGACUUUCACUUAUAAUUCAGAAAACCUCAUUAUCAUCCAUAAUGUCAGCAAAGCAUAUUUUAGAAAAGUGUGCAUGUUGACCAUUUUGGGUUGCUUUGAGCCCUGCGCAAAGAAUGUGACACAUCUGUUGCUCAUUUCUGACUCCUGAUUACGUUGAAUGAUUCACCAAAGUGGAGUCAGAAAACUCUGUUGUUAAUGGAGUUUCAUAUUUAACUAACUAUAUAUGCCAUAGCCACAGAUAAAUAUUAAAGCAUAGCUUAAGAGGAGAUAUUCAAAGACAUGUCUGCAAAUGGAGCAAGCGAAUCUGGUGGUGGGUUGAAAAGAAAUGUAGAAGGGGUUGUAUUGUCAGCACUUUCUGCUGCAUAUCAGUCCUCUUUCUGGAAAUUCUUUCUUGCCUUGUUGGUUUCAUGAUAGCACUCUUGGCCGGGUGUGGAGGCUCACACCUCUAAUCCAGCACUUUGGGAGUUUGAGGUGGGCAGAUCACCUGGGGUCAGGAGUUUGAGACCAGCCUGACAAACAUGGAGAAACCCUAUCUCUACUAAAAAUACAAAAUUAGCUGGGCGUGGUGGCUCAUGCCUGUAAUCCCAGCUACUUGGGAGGCUGAGGCAGGAGAAUCGCUUGAACAUGGGAGGGAGAGGUUGUGGUGAGCUGAGAUCACGCCAUUGCACUCCAGCCUGGACAACAAGAGCAAAACUCCGUCUCAAAAAAAAGAAAAAAGAAAAGAAAAGAUAGCACUCCUUCCUGGUUCUCCUGCUCUGCCACAGAUAUAUACACAUGUAUAUUUUUUAACUAGAUCAUCAUUCCUCAUAUGUCUCCAAUAGGCUUUUACUAAGGUGUCAUCCACUGUUACUUUUUUGCAACACAUCCACCAGUUUUUCAUUUGCCCCCACUGGUCUUUACUCAAUAUAAUAUAUCCAGAGCCCUGUGUAGAUACAUCACAUUGUUUUCGCAGAUAACCCUCAAAUCCCUUUCUCUAGCCCUUGUCUCUGUCCUGAACUUCAGGCAUGUCUACUGUAUGUUCCUACAAGGAUGACCCAGAAAUUUCUCAAACGUGACAUACCUCAAAACAAAGCUAUCAUUUUUCACUCAUCUAUAAAACUCCCUUCCUCCUAGUGCCCCUUAGUUAGGUAACAGACUCAUGCUUUAUCUACUAACACAAGCCAGAAAACUAAGGCUCCAGCUCUGUCCCUACCUAUCUCUCAGAGUUCAUUUUACCCACAGUUUGCAAAUUUGUAUUCCUCUUUUUAUGCCCACUUCCCUGUCCCAGUCAGAUCUUAUCCUGUUUCUGGACUGCAGCAAUAUCUUCUAUAGUUGGGCUUUCAGUCAUCAGCUUCUCUAAUUCUCUACUUUGAACUUUUAUUUUAUUUUAUUAUUAUUCUUUUGAGAUGGAGUCUCGCUCUAUCACCAGGCUGGAGUGCAGUGGCUUGAUCUCGGCUCACUGCAACCUCCGUCUUCUGGAUUCAAGCAAUUCUCCUGCCUCCGCUUCCAGAGUAGCUGGGAUUAUAGGCAUGUACCACCACACCUGGCUAAUUUUGGAUUUUUAGUAGAGCUGGGGUUUCACCAUGUUGGCCAGGAUGGUCUCGAUCUCCUGACUUCGCGAUCCACCUGGAUUGGUCUCCUAAAGUGCUGAGAUUACAGGUGUGAGCCACUGUGCCCAGCCUUAAAUUUCAUUUUACCCACAGUUUGCAAAUUAGCGAGAGCUAAUUUACUUAAUAGAGGUGAGGAUCAUGUCAUUUGCCUGCUCAAAAAAUCCUUGAUUGAUUCUCUGUCAGGAAACAACUGAAACUUCAUAGCCUGACAUCCAACAGUUUUUCAUCUGUGCCCACUGGUCUUGACUCAAUAUAAUAUAUCCUGGGCCCCACGUGGAGCCUGACAUAUUGCAGAGGUCUGAUAAAUAAAUGAAUAAAUGAACAAAUGAAUGAUGGAGUGGAUAAAUGAAUAAAUGACUCACUAGGCAUUGAGACUGCCAAACAGACGCAUGCAUCAUGCUGCCAAGAAAGCUAUUUCCCUCCUUCUGAAAUGGGUGAAAUCCUAUUCAAUAUGUCAUUUUUUAGUUUUUUUAGAUGAUUCCAGUCGCAAUCAAUUGCUUCUCAACUUGGGAUUCUAAGACAUUUUAUUCAUGCUACAGUUGUAGCAGUUAAUAUAUGUCAAGGUUAUUUAUAUGUGUUGGGUGUUCACAGAGACGGGGUACUCUUGAUGGCAAUGAAGACUCAGCUGCUAGCAAAAAGGCUGGUGCACUUGGGAAAUCAGUCUAUGUCUGAAUUUCCACCACCACUAAUUUCCUUCAGUCAUAUUAUGUCUUUCCUGAAGUCCUACAAUAGCUUUAUAAGUGUUUUCCCUACCUCCAUUGUCAUCUUAAAAUCUACUCCUCAUAGUCCUGCUAGAUGAAUUCUUUUGUUCUGAAAAUGAAAAGCUUGCAGAAAUUCCAGAGCACUGAAGAAAUUAGAGGUCAAGAUUCCUAAUUCAGAGGUCAUUGCCUUCUUAAAUAUAUCCGAAAUUUCCGCCUUUUUUGGUGGCUCAAGUUGUUUUAGCGUUAGGUUGCAAAAUAAAUAGAAUAUCAUUUUGUGGGGGUUGGAGAGAUCUUUCUGUAAAUUUUUGGCUGCCUAACCAUUUCACAUUAUUUGUACUUUGUGAGUAAAUACAGAGUCAGGAAGAAAUGUUCCUGGGAACAGGAAGGAGACAUAUCUAAGCCCGAAAUGAACUUAGUGACUUGGUGUUUUCCCUGCUAACAGGAGUCUUAGAACCCACCUGGGUUGUAUCAGAUAAAUACAAUUAUUGCAGUUCAACUAGGUCAUGUUUGUGCUCACACAAAGUCUGGAUGUGGCAGAAGUAAAUGACCGGACAUUGUUAACAGAGCUGUAGUUUGCAAAACAGCAAAGUUUUUCAGACCUGAGAAAGGGAGUGAGUUCAGAGAAACAUCAGUCUAACCAAAGUGUUUCUGCUGCUGCUGCAGAGGCCACUGUUAAUUGGAAUUGCUUAUUACUUCGGUUACUUUCAAUAGUGCUUUGGGGGAUACUCUUGCCCUCAUAUUGUCUAAAUCUGUCCCUGUCACUGGUGACUGGAUAAACUAGGGCAUUUUAACAGGCAUCCUAUUACCUGACAGUAGGCAUCUUGUUUUCUGUAUUAGAAGUAGACAUGUCUCCCGGGAUUUAACCUUCUGUUCAAAGCUUGAACCACUUUGGUAGGAAAAAUGUGGUCCUCAUAAUGUUUUCCAGUCACCUGUGGCUUGCAAAGUACUUAAUGCUUAUUAACUCAUUAAUCCUCUUCAUGAAUCCAGUGAGGAAGGUAAAUGUCAAGUUAUGUUUUCCUCUUUCCAAGGGCGGUGAAUUUGAAGCACAGACUGUCUGGGACAUACCCAUAGCAAAUUGGGAGAAAGGGGCCUACCGUUUUUGAGAUGUGCAAACCCAAAACGUAGCAGCUGAGUUUUAAAAAACUGUAACUUCAAAGUGGCUCUCCUCUCUAAAGUCAUCAAUUAGAAAUCCUCAGUGGGCAGAUCUGGCAGGAGGCAUUGGCUGAAAAAUGGAACUUUGAGAGCAAUAACAUCUGCUCAGCUGGGUGGGGAACAGAUGCUUGUAGUGUCAAGAUUGUGAUGCAUGGUCUUGGGAUUUUUCCAAGUUCAACAUGUUUGUCAGUCUUUUGAGGGCCCUAUUUAUCCAUGGGGUAAGGAUUUGUUUAACCAACUAUUUCCUCCUAAUCCUUGCAAAAACAUGUAUGAAGCACACAGCAGCAGAUGAAACCAUCAUAGGAACUCUUUCAAAGGACCAGUCAAUGGCUCCUGGAAAGUUCUGUCCUUCCCCAUUCUAAAUCUGAGUGGUAGAAAGGCAUCCUACUUGAAGACUGGUAUUAGAUGCUUACUGCUAAAACUGGAAUGUUAAUUCCCACUUUUAAUUAAAAGCCCUCAUUUCUAUUCCUUGGAUCUAUUGGUUAGGUGAUUUCUUGGGUUCUGGCCAACCAUAGAGGGGAGCUCUAAUCUGCACACUUCUUAGAGAACCACGUUGCCGCCUUAUCAUUUUCCUAAUGAAGAAUGCAUAGCCCAAGGACAUGUAGAUUGUUUAUUCAUCCAUGUGUGCAUUUAUUCAUUUAAGAAGUACUUUUUCAUUUUUCACCAUGUGACAACCAUGUGCCAAGCUCCUGGGGGCACUGGUAUGACAGGCUUAUGAGGCGGGAGCAGGUGGGCCAUUUAGCAGGAGGCCUCAUAUUCAUAAAAGGCCUCACUUUAAGACUGUUGACAUUGUUCCCAAGUGAACUUUUAUUUUGGAUGUAAAUAGGGUCUUUUGCAAACUGUAAGCAUUUAAAAAUAUGUGAGAGUUUUGGUAAUCCUGCUUUGGCAUUUCAUAACAUCAUAACAUGUCCACAGGUUUCAAAAGUGGAAGUGACCUGGGCUGGUUACUUCCUCUUGGAGUUUGUAGAAAUGGCUCAGACACCCUCCUUGUGUCUCAUUACUCUGUAGGAGAUCAGACAUCCUUCUCCCCAAGAAACAGUUUAGGUGGUACCCCAGGAUAAGAGAACAUCUGGAAGCAGCCAUGGAAUAUAAAUGUUAGACAGCUGGAAGAAGCCACAGAGAGCCUCCAGUGCUUAUGUGUUAGUCAAGGGAACUGACCUGAAAGAGGUGCAGGGGGACAUCCCUAAGACCUAAGCACAGUUUGUGGCACAGUGAGACUAGAAUGGAGGAUUUGUAAUCUGAGGAGCUCUGCUGUUUCCUCCGUGGAAAUGGCCCCUUGACAAAAGAAUGACACUUAUACUGUGCUUUACCUUGUUAAGUGGUCCUCUGCACCACUUCGUAGACAUAGGCUGAUUUCAGCUUCUUUCUGUUCCUUCCCUCCCUCCCUCCCUUCCUUCCUUCUUCCCUCCCUCCUUCCUCCCUUCUUUCCUCCCUCCCUCCCUUCCUUUCUUUCUUCCUUCCUCCUUUCGUUCUUUCUUUUCUUCUCCUUUCUUUGUCUACCCCCAUUCUCAUUGCUCUCUUCUUGUCUUUCUUUCUCUGUCUUUUAAAUUGAGUGCAUCCUGGUUUUAUACUUACUGCCACUGUCUCUUUGCUAUACUCCUCCAUUGUUCCUACCAACAAUAGAGGUUGGCCCACAUCAAAAGCAGAAAGUUUGGUUUUCAUCAGAACAAUAUUUGCAUUGUGAGCUUUGAUCUUGACUUCUCCUGCCUGGGGCCAGAGCAAGACUUCACCGCAACAGUGAACUCAAGUCCCUGUGUUCUCUCUGAAGCUAGGAUCACCAGGAUGUGGUUAGUGUGUGGCGGAAUGAGUGUCACUGGGAUUCAGAGCCUGCAAUGAGUUUUUUUCAGUAAGUCCCAAUUGUAUGAGAAAGAGGGAGAGGAAAAAAACCCAUACAAAGUGAGCAACUCCCUUCUCCCCUCAAAACACAAAGAAGACAAACUAGGCAAGAUUGACUAUUUUCCUGUUUCAUCCUGUUCCUAUACCUUGUCUUUGAGUUUUAGACAAGUAUGUCAUGACAAAAAUUUUGUUUUCCCUGGAGUUUCAGAAUUCUUUGAGCCGCCUCAUGGAUAGUACUCAAUAUGCCAAAGACUUCAAACUUAGGAUGACAAGCCUGAACUUAACAUUUUCCCCUAGAAACCCACUCUUCUGGCUGGGCACGGUGGCUCAAAGUAAUCCCAGUACUUUGGGAGGCUGAGGCGGGUGGAUCACUUGAGGUCAGGAGUUUGAGACCAGGCUGGCCAAUAUGGUGAAACUCCGUCUCUACUGAAAAUACAAAAAUUAGCCAGGUGUGGUGGUGUGUGCCUGUAGUUCCAGCUACUCAGGAGCUUGAGGCAGGAGAAUGCCAUGAACCCAGAGGCAGGCGUUGCAGUGAGCCAAGAUCACACCACUGACUCUAGCCUGGGCAACAGAGCGAGAUCCAUCUCAAAAAGAAAGGAAGGAAGGAAGGGAGGAAGGGAGAGAAACCAAAGCAAACAAACAAAAAAACCUGCUCUUUUUCUUUGUUUUUUGUAAUCUGCCACCAGGCUCCCAGGCUAGAAACCUUGGAUUCAUCUUACAUUCCUCUCUCAUUCACCACAUUCUCUCAAUUCUGCCACCUAAAUGUAAUUCUCUCAAUUACUGCCUUCCCUCCACUGCAUAUGCCACACAGCUGCCAGGGAGAUCUGCCUAAAAUGCCAAUCUGAUUGUGCCAUCCUCCUCCUUCAAAAGCUCUGUGCAUUCCCCAGACUCAGAGUCACACAUCUACAGUCUUAAGCAGGAGACAGCCACACGGCCCUGGCUGUAGCUUAACGAGAUAGCCCUACUGUAACUCAUGCUGCAGCCACACUGGAUGCCUGAUCACAUCUUCAUGCGGUGUGCUCGUGAAUGCCUCUGCAUCUUUGUGCCCGUUAAUCACACCACCUGGAAUAUUCUUUCUCUUUCUUUCACAACUGAUUCCAUUUUGUUCUUUCUUCUAGAUUCGUCUCAAUGCUCUCCAUAUUUAGGUCUUCCAAGGCCUCUCAGGUAGUUGGUUGCUUCAUCCUCCCAUGUGGAUUUGAUUUACUGGAAGGAACAUGGGCUUUGGAGUUCCACAAACAAAACUUAAGAACCUGUUCCACUCUGAAUGUCAUUGCUUCAACCAUAACGUAGACACAGUGCCAACUCCAAAGAGCUACUGAGAGAAUUAAACAAAGAAGAACUUGGUUUCCUAUAAACAUUAGUUUCCUUUCUAUAGCAACUUUUACAUAGAAAAUUGCAUAGUGGUUGAAAGACUAUGGCCCUGAAUCCAGAAGAUGUGACUUUAAAGCCUAGCUCUGCCACGUGCUUAUAUGAGUGACCUUGAACGAUUACAUUUGCUUGAGCAAAUUAUUCUCCUUUCAAUGUCCUUAUCCCUAUAAUAAUAGUACCUACUUCAUAGGGUGCUUCAGAAUAUUAAAGAAGAUAAAUAUAAGGUUAUUAUAUUUGGCACAUAAUAAUCACACAGUGGAUUCUGGCAGUAAUCAUUUUUUCCCAUACUUGCCCUUCUGUAUCAUAAUUAUUUGUUUAUAGAUUUUUCCCUGUGAACUUAAGGAUUCCUAAAGGGACCAGAUGGUGCCUUACUCAUAUUUGUAUCCUCAGCUACUAUCAUGGAACACAGUGUAAGCAUUUGGAAGUUAUCUCUUUAAAUGGAUAAGGCCUGGCAUGUUUCAUCUGAAGUUUUACUUCUGGACUGUGGUCAGCAGCACAAUCCAGAAUUCUUCAUGGGUACUGCCCCAUGCUCACAUCCAUGCCAAUUUCUCUUUAUUUUUAUUAUUUAUGUAUUUAUUUGUAAUAGAGAUGGGGUCUCACUAUGUUGUCCAGGCUGGUCCCAAGCUCUGGGCUGAAGCAACCCUCCUACCUCAGAUUUCCAAACUGCUGGGAUUACAGGCAUGAAGCAUUGUGCCCAGCCUCAAUCUGUCUUCAAAACCCACUUCAGAAUAGGCUUCUCUAAGAAGACUGCCUCAGUAUUACCCCAAGUUCAUUCAGAACUCUCUUUUAAAUCUCAGUUCCUGUUGCUUUACUGGUUUUUAAAAAUUAUUAUUUCACACGUAUGUCCUCAGUGGGCUCCUUUUUUUAGGUCUUAAAUUAUUUUAUUCAUUUAUUUUUAAUUAUAAUUUUGGAGCUGCAUAGUUGGCAUAUAAGUUAUUGGGGACUGGACUACCUCCUUUCUGUGAUCUGUGAGUGAUCUUGCCGCCACCAACAAUAGCACAUAUGUUGUGGGGGCUUUUAAUAAAUGUUACCUGGGUCGGGUUGCCUCUCAUGGUAGCAUCUUUUUUCCCCACCUUCUUUUCUUUUUCUUCUCUGUUUUCUUCAAGGGCCCCUCCAGGCUUGAAUGAAUAUUGUGAUUGCUAUUUUAGACUAGAGGAACUUCGAUUCCUGCCCUGGACCCCAGAGGAGAAAAUCUGUUCUCUCCUCUUUCCCAUCUGGCAGGCAUAUACAAUGUGGGAUAUUCCUCACCCUUCUCAUUUCAGCUUAGUUGACUCCAGUGGUAUUGGAUGCCAGGAGACAUUUAUUCUCCUCUUUUGCUUGUUUAUUUUACACACACACACACACACACACACACAUACACACACACGGACAUACAAAUACAUAUUAUAAGUAUGCCCCUGGCCAAGCAUGGUGGCUCACACCUGUAAUCCUAGCACUUUUGGAGGCCAAGGUGGGUGGAUCACUUGAGGUCAGGAGUUUGAGACUAGCCUGGCCAACAUGGUGAAACCCCGUCUCUACUAUAAAUGCAAAUAAUUAGCUGGGUGUGGUGGUGUGAACCUAUAAUCCUAGCUACUCAGGAGGCUGAGGCGGGAGAAUGGCUUGAACCAAGGAGUCAGAGGCUGCAGCGAGCUGAGAUUACACUGCUGCACUCCAGCCUGGGUGACAUAGUGAGAUUCCAUCUCAAAAAAAAAAAAAAGAAAGAAAAAAUUAUGUGACCCUAACACCAUAUGUGAGAGACAAUCUAGAGGGUUCUGGACAGGACAGAUAUAAAACAGACACAGGCUGGGUGCAGUGGCUCACACUUGUAAUCCCAGCACUUUGGGAGGCCAAGGCAGACGGAUCACUUGAGGUCAGGAGUUCAAGACCAGCCUGGCCAACAUGGUGAAACCCUGUCUCUACUAAAAAUACAGAAAUUAGCCAGGCAUGGUGGUACAUGCCUGUAAACCCAGUUACUUGGGAGGCUGAGGCAGAAGAAUCACUUGAGCCUGGGUGGUAGAGGUUGUAGUGAGCCAAGAGUAUGCCACUGCACUCCAGCCUGGGCAAGGGGAGUGAAACCCUGUCUCAAAAAUAAAUAAAUAAAUAAAUAAAUAAAUAAAUAAAUAAAUAAAUAAAUAAAAUAAAACAGGUACAAAACAUGUGUCGAAAUAUUGUUUCACAACAGAAUUCUUAAGAGCAGUAUAUUUUAGAUUUCAGUUAGUAAGGGUAAAUUCUAUUAUAAAGAUGCUCAGGGAGCUUGAUGUAAAUUAAAGCUCUCUGUUUGGGUUUAAUUAAACAAAAAUGAGGCAUAGUUUUGUUUUGUUUUAAGCAUGUUUUUCCAUUGUCUUCAAGCCACACUUUCAAGCUGAAAAUGAUUCUUGAUCAGGGAGAAGACAGAAACCAAUUAAGGGCUUCUCCAAUCCCAAUGGAGGGACGACUAGAAAAAAGCUGCACACGUACUCCACUGCGUUUACACAUUCUUAAUGCAUUUGUUUUCUUAGCAAAGAAAUUUAAACACUUGUGAUACAAUGGAACAGAAAUUUUUUAUACAUUUUCCCUAAAUCUGUCUUUCUCUUUAUAUUUUCAUAUGGAAAUAGAAAUUUGUCAGGGGCAUUUUUUUUUUCAGAAUAAUUAUUUUUCCACUUUUCAGAUGAUAGAAAUGAUAUAAACUGAAAGAGAACACACCACCUAGCAUUUUCUUCAAUUUUAUAAAUUUGGAUCUUUUAUCUCAUUCUCUGGAUCCAGAGAUUCUAAUUACUGUCUGGGUCCCUGGACCUUUCUCUUUUCCCAAAACCUUGUUCACCUCCCUCUGGGACAGAGCAGUUUCCCUUCCUGAGGAUACUGAGCUGCUUGCUGGUUUUUUUUCUCUUCUGCCCACAAAUCCAGUAUUGUUGCAUCUCUAAAGUCUCCUUGAUCUCUUCCCACAUAAUAACUUAUUUUACCUUUCCACUGAGUGACCAAACUCCUGGGUAAAAAAUGACAAUCCAGGAAUUAGAUGAUUCAAAGUGACUCUUCUUGUUACAAUUCUGCGAUCAUUAUUUCAUACCUCUACCUAUUCCCUAGCAUAAUUAAAAUGUCUGUAAACGGGUACCAGAAACAAACUGCAUAAGAAAAUAAGCACAGACCAUUGAAAUUACAUGGUUCCAUCAUUAAAGGGCUGCACUUUUUUUUUUCUCUUAAGAUUGAGUUUUGCUCUUGUUACCCAGGCUGGAGCGCAGUGGUGUAAUCUUGGCUUACUGCAACCUCUGCUUCCCAGGUUCAAGUGAUUCUCCUGCCUCAGCUUCCCGAGUAGCUGUGGUUACCGGCACCUGCCACCACACCCAGCUAAUUUUUGUAUUUUAGUAGAGAUAGAAUUUCAUCAAUGUUGGCCAGCCUGGUCUUGAACUCCUGACCUCAAGUGACCUGCCCACCCCGGCCUCCCAAAGUGCUGAGGUUACAGAUGUGAGCCCCUGCACCUGGCCUAAAGAUUUGUACUUUAAGAUAUACAUCUUUCACAGCAUAUUUAUAUUCUCCUUUUUCAUAUUGGAGACUAAAUUUUUGUAAGAUGUGGUUUUCAGAUAAGCACUUGAAAUAAGGCAAAAAAAAAAAAAAAAAAAGGAAGAAGCCUUAUUGCUGGACCUAGCUUAUAUCUUUUUUUUUUUUUUUUUUCGCUCUUGUUACCCAGGCUGGAGUGCAAUGGCGCGAUCUCGGCUCACUGCAACCUCCGCUUCCUCGGUUCAGGCAAUUCUCCUGCCUCAGCCUCCUGAGUAGCUGGGAUUACAGGCAUGUGCAACCGUGCCCAGCUAAUUGUUUUGUAUUUUUAGUAGAGACGGGGUUUCACCAUGUUGCCCAGUAUGUUCUCGAUCUUUUGACCUCGUGAUCCACCCGCCUCGGCCUCCCAAAGUGCUGGGAUUACAGGCUUGAGCCACCGCGCCUGGCCCCUAGCUUAUAUCUUAAAGAGAGAGGUGGAUGUCGUCUGCAGGGAAUGUGACCUCACUUUCUGCAAAGUGGAUAGUGGUGAUUUCUCUUGUUUCUUUGUAUCAGUUCCUCCACCAGCAUCUAUAUUUCUAGGGAGGAAAAGCCACCUGGCAAUGUAGAUCAACAAAUAGGGGAAGGCAUCAGUCAUGACUACUGUAGAGUCAGAUGUUGACGUAGCUAUCAACAUAAACUGGUAGGAAGAGAUGCUUUUUUUCCUGAUGGAAAAGACAGCUAGGAUGCAUAGAAAUGUUUCCAGAAAACACAGUGGCUGCUUACAACCAACUCUCAUUGGUUAGUAAGAGAAAAACUACGUGUAGUAGAACACUGAGGUAAGAGUUCAAGCCUGUUUUUGUUCUCGACCCUGUCCAACAGCAAAUUUGUUUUGUCAGUUUGAAUAAAUCAUAUAAUAAUAUUAUGUAUUAGACAUAUACUGAGCAUUCUUUUGGCAUUGUGUAUAUGAUGAUCAUCUAUUCUGUAGGAAACCAUCCAAAGCUUCAUAAUUUAAAAAAAUAUAUAUUCUUUCUUACCAUUCUGGGGAUUGAUGUGCAUAGCUGAGCAGCUUUUUUGGGGGUACCUCUAUAUGGUUGCAGUUAAAUUGUCAGGCAUUGGAAGGCUCCACUCACAUGACUGCAACACCUAGGCUAAGAUGGCUGGAUCAGCUGAGGAUUCUUGGAGCAGCUCCCUCUGUAUAGCCUCUCCAUGUGGUUCACUUGGGUUUCCUCCAGCAUGGUGAUCUCAGACAAUGGGACUUCUUACAUGGCUGCUGGCACUCUGCAGAGUGAGCAUCUAGGAGAUAGGAAGUGAAAGCUACCAGUAUCUGAAAGUCUGGCCCCAGAAACUGAGCAGCCUCAUUUCUGCCAUGUGCUCCACAAAGCAGUCUCAGCUCCUCCAGACUAAGGAAGAGGAGAAAUUGACUCACUUGUCAGUGGGAGGAGUGUCAAAGUAGGUGCGGUCAUCCUUACUUCCUUACUUAAUACUCCUGGAAAAGGUUCUGACUGGGUUCCUCUUCUCCAGAAAUCUGCUUAAAAUAGAUGUGUGUGUGUGUGUGUGUGUGUGUGUGUGUGUGUGUGUAUGGAACUAGUGCCAAACGACAAUCAAAAUAAUCAACUCUAUUGCUGCUAAAACUGUCAAAAGCCACACUUGCUCCAGCUGAAAUGGGGGCUUUUUACCCCUUUUGCCUGAAUUUCAAAUAGAAGGACCACAGGUCUAAACUGGCUGAUUCACACAGUCAGAUGCCUUAUCUGGAGCUGAGUGAGAAGAUUCCUGGCUGGACCUGCCAGGUGAUGCAAACAGGUCUAGGUCCACAGGCCAAGAGGGAGGCUGGGAGUCUGUCAAUCUUUUGAGGGACCCACUGGUAAUGUGCUUCAGUCUGAUUAGUAGCUUCUCCACCGGUGCUGAGGAGCCACUGAGAUGGACCUGAAUUUCCUUUCAGUCCUGCCCUUUCUUAAGAAGUAGAGCAAGUCUCUAUCUCUUCUAAAAAUGUGAGGAGGGCAGGAAUGCUUCAGGCAUUUUCUUCUUCCCCGUACCAUCCAAAACUUCAGGAUUGCAGACCAUCUUUUGCAGAGAAGAAAACUAAGGCUUGGAAUAGAUUCACCAAGUUUCCAGAGUAACAAGCUGAUAAGAAGUAGAGGCACAUUCACAGGACAUCAUUCUUUCUCUCUUUCAACAUCUCAAAAAAUUGAACAAAUAUAUGUGUGGCAAACCUUACUACCUCCCCAACACACUACUCCCAAGACCUACCCCUUCCCCCUACUUAUUUCUCUCCAUAUCCCUUAUUAUAUUGCCAUCUUGCAUAGUCUAUGUGUUUGCUGUCUGCCCCUCCUCCCGCUAUAAUGGGAUCAAAUGUAAAUUCUAUCAUUGAAACAUAUAGGAGAUACCAAUGUAGAUUGUGUUAUUUGCACACAGGAUGUACCACUGUGUACCCAAUAGUACUCAGUUAAUACCUGCUGCCUUUAGAAUGUCCCUUUGAUGAAGCCCUGAGGAUGUGGGCCGCCAUGCAUCAGUCACUGCUGGCUCUAGGGCACUGGCACUUGGCUGAAGUUCUAGUGCUGGUGUUGAUUCACUGAGACCUAAGCACCAUGAGGAAAAUGCAUUCCAUAGGAGACUGCAAUAAGAUCAUGUAUCAUGUACAGGUGGGAUAAGUCUCUUUUCCAGGUAAGAUGUUCCUGGGUUAGCUGCUGUUUUCUGUGACAAUUUUCGUAGACAGAAACAAUUGCCUGCAUUUCCAGCAGUGCACUUAGAACCUCAAAAAAAUUGGCUCUUUGGGCAGAUCAACAAACCAAUUGAAUGCAGCUGCAUUUUAAAAAUCUGAGCCACCGAAAGGUAUUGCUGCUUGGCUGGGUUGUGACCAUCUUCCCUGAGGAAUCCCUGCAGGAUUUUUGUGGGGAGUAGAGAAGUGGCAUCUCCCAUUUCAUCCACCAGAGUCAUCGUUUAGGAUUAUCAAGAACGAGAAGGAGUUAGUCCCGGAAUGUGCAGAAAGGUAUCCAUGGCAGUUACUAGUAUAUUAAUAAAAAUGCCGCUGUGCUGAAGAAACAACCGAGCAUAGUAAAAGACUAGUACAGAAAGGACCUUUUAUUCUGGCACUCUUGCAAUGGCUUUAUGUGUUUGAUUGCAUUUAAGGCUCAGAACAACCCUCUAAGGAACUAUUAUCUCCAUGCCACAGAUGAGAAGGCAGAAGAACAAAGAGGCUAAGUGAUUUGCCCAAGGUCUCACAGUAAUGAGUGGCAGAAUCCAGAUUUGAACCAAGACAGUCUGGCUGUAGAGCCUGUGUUCUAAAUAGCUGUACCGCUAGAUCCUUCAACUACCUUUUCGGCUUUUUGUUGUUAGUGUUUUCAAGGUCUAAAGAGUGUAUAAGCAAGCCAACUAACUUGCAAGCUCUUUGUAUUACUGAAAUACAUAUGCUUAGCCAGACAUGGUAGCACAUACCUGUAAUCCCAGUUACUCAGGAGGCUGAGGCAAGAGAAUUUCUUGAACCUGGGAGGUGGAGGUUGCAGUGAGUCCAGAUCGUGCCACUGCACACCAGCCUGGGUGAUGAAGUGAGACUCUGUUUAAAAAAAAAUUAUACACACACACACACAUAUGUGUAUGUGCAUGGUGUGUGUAUGAACACUUUGUAUACACUGUGAACAAUUAUAAAGUACAUUGGAGUGGCAGGGGGUUUAGAAUUUUAUUUCAGCUUCCCACCCAAUGCAGGGGUCCUUAGAGAAUCAUCAUUCAGCUUUGCUUGAACUUUAAGAUCAGAUGAAUAAAAAUACUAAGGGUCAACAUACACGCUGAUGCUAAUAAUUGCUGUAACUAUGGAAACAAACUAGAAUAAAGGACAAAACAAAAAGGUUCUUACGAGAGAAUUUUAAAAAGCUGAAACUCACCAUAUACACAUAAAGUAGUGACUAGGCUUGGGAACCUAAAUAAAUUAAUAAAGGCUGGAAAAUGGAGGACGGUAGGGGGAGAGAGUGUAAGCGCUAGAUUUCUGGCCAUCUGAAAAACGCAGUUAAAUACUUUGUUUUGAUUACAUAAACAUUUUUGUAUUUGUGGAAAAACUCUGGGGUAAUCACUCAUCUAAUUAGAAAUAAGAUGCCUGCCUUCUAAAUGGGUAUAGAAUAUAAAACAUAGCCUAUUUAGGAAAAGAAAAUAGUGGAAGAGAAACAGUAAAAAAAAAAAAAGAACAAUAGCAAUGAACCCCAAUGUGUAAGCUCCAUGGCAAAUGCAUAGCUUUAAAUUUUUCUAUUAAAACAUAAAAUAUACCAAAGUAGAUUUAACAGCAAUAUGCAGUGAUUUUCAUUCAUUACCCAAUGAAUGAAAAUAUUCUGGCCCAUGAUAGCACUGUACAGUAUUUUGUUGUUAACAUCUUCUCUAAUUACUUAGGAAAUACACUAUGUCUUACUCAAUUUAGUAUUGCCAGUGUAUAAUUGCUAUAGGAUUGGCGUUCAGAUAUAUGUUAAAGGAUUUACUGAAUUUUUUAAAAAUGAGUGGAUAACAAUAUGUGGAAAAUGAUAUUUAGUGAAAAAAUACUAUACACAGGAGAGCGGGUGAUUCUAAAUGUAUAAUCGAUAGUGAAGACAUCAUGAAAUGGAAACUUCAUGUGCCAAAGAGAAUUGCAAUAAACUACUUAGGGCAAAAACUGUUGGAAAUACAAAGAUCAAUUGGUGCUAAGAGUGUAAUCAAUCAUACCUGGAUUUAAAUUAUGGCUCUGCUACUUAGGAGGUUGGCCAAUUAUUUAUCCUUUCUGAAUCUUAUUUUCAUAAUCUACAAAAACGAGACUAGCUACAUUGUGAGGAUUAGAGUGAGGGAAUAUAGGUAAAAGUGAAGGAGGGAGAGAUGUAUCCUGUUCUCAGUGGUUAUGCAGCAUUUGGUCAAUAAAUAUUCUGAAAGUAAGAACACUUUUCUUGUCAUUUUCAGUUUUUUUAGUGCCAGUAUAAUGCCUUGUUAUAUUAAACAUUCAAAUGGCUGCUAAGUGUUGAAUAAUUUUAAAAAGAAGAGCGCCAUAAACUCUGUUUCCUUGCUUAGUAACGAAAAUCUAACUGUAAUAGCUUUACAAAUUAGGGACUUGUUUUCUUAUUUAAAGCUCAGACAUAGGUGAUUCAGGUAUGGCUCCAUGAAGUUAUGAGGGACUCAACCCCCUUCUUUCCUUCAAUACAGCCAACCUUAUCACUUUCUUUCCAUGCUCCAGGUCACUGAAUGGCUUCUGGAACUCUAGCUAUCACGGCCACUGUGAUGACUUGAAUGUGCUCCUCAAAAAAAAAAAAAAAAAAAAAAAGUGUGUUUUGGAAACUUAAUACCCAGUGCAGCAGUGUUGGGAGAUGGGGACUAGUGGGAGGUAUUUAGCUCACGAAGGCUUCACCCUCAUGAAUGCUUUAAUGCCAAUUACGAAAGGGGUCAAGGCUGUGCAUUCCAUUUCUUCCUCUCUUGCAUGCAUGCUUUUUUGCCGAUCUGCCUCCCACCAUAGGAUGAUGCAGCAAGAAGGCCCUCACCAGAUGCCACCACCUUGAUAUUGGACUCCUCAGCCUCCAGAACCAUGAGAAAUAAGUAUCCCUUCAUAAAAGUCAUCCAGCCUCUGAUAUACUGUUACAGAUGCACAGAAUGGACUCAGACAGCCACAGUCCAGGUUAUAAGAAGAGGAAGGGCAACAGUCAAGGACAUUUCUUCCACUUCACUUAGCUCUCUUCAGAAACUCUCCUGGAAUCCCUACCCACAAAUUCUACUUAUCUCUUGUCCCAUCCAUUACUCCCUAUAAAGAAAACAAAGAAAUGUGAGUUUUGUUUGUUUGUUUGAGAUGGAGUCUUGCUCUGUCCCCCAGGCUGGAGUGUAGUGGUACCAUCUUGGCUCACUGCAACCUCGCCUCCCGGUUCAAAUGAUUCUCAUGCCUCAGUCUCCCGAGUAGCUGGGACUACAGACACCUGCCACCAUGCCCGGCUAACUUUUUGUAUUUCUAGUAGAGACAGGGUUUCAUCAUGUUGGUCAGGCUGGUCUUGAACUCCUGACCUUAGGUGAUCCACCUGCCUCAGCCUCCCAGAGUGUUAAGAUUAUAGGCGUGAGCCACUGCACCCGCCCAUGAGUUUUUUUAAGCUGGAAUCUUAGCCACCCCAUAUAAAAUAGAGCUUCUAAUGUUAGUGAAGAAAGGGAGAGUUGAUAUUAGGGAGGUAACAAAGAAUCUGUCAGAAUUAUUGAUGAUUUUUUUUGAUGGCAACUUCUUGCAUCACUCAUGAAAUUCUACACUUAUGUAUUUAAUAACUUGCUGUCUAGUAGGUUUACUUCAACUGAGCAGGGCCUGGGGUGGGGUCCUGAGUAACUGAUGGAGCUUUCCUUUGUGAGUUUUAUCUCUCUGAUACAUCUCUCUGAGAGAUUGAAUUUAGAGAGUAGGGCGAUUGAAAAUGGCCAGGGAUUGCUGCAGGGUAUUUAUUAAUUUAGUUGACUGAUAAGCCAUACAUUAAAAAAUCAACAGAGGCAAAAGAAGUACAACUGAAAAGUAAUUUUUUCUUCACACUUGGCUCUCAGUUAUUCAGCCCCUUUUUUGGAAGUAACCACUGUGACUAACCACUAUUUAAAUUUUGUGUGGACUUCUGGAUAAGGUCAUUGCAUAUAAUGCAUAUGUGGGUAUGUAUUCUGGUUUAUUUUUUAAGCAAACAAGACUGUAUCAGACAUACUUCUCUGCAAAUGGAAUAUUUCACUUAAGAGUAUUUCUUGGAUAUCUUUCCAGGUCAUACUUGGGAAGCUGCCUCAUUGUUUUUGACAGCUGGCUAGUAUAUCAUUGCAUGGAUCUAUCAUUAUUUAUUCUCUUGAUGAAUUGUACAUACCAUAAUUUAUUUGGGUGAACACUUUGUAGAGUCCAAUAUUUUGCUGUUAUAAGUAAGACUAUAAUGAAUAUUCUUGGAAAUAUGUCAUUUUGUGUAAUUGUAAAAGUACUCCAAGAAUUAGAAUUUAUUCUGAGUCAAGAGGCAUUUGACCUUAUGACUUUGAGAACAUUGCCAAAUUACUCUCCACGAGUAUCAUAGCAGUUUUUAUUCCACUAACAAUGUACUGAGAAUAUAUUUUUGCUCAUUUCCUUGGAAGGCCAAGGCAGGAGAAUCGUUUGAGCCCAGGAGUUCAAGACCAGCCUGGACAACAUAGUAAGACCCCAUUGCUAUAAAACAAACAAAUAUUUUGGUGUUUGCUUAUAUAAUAGGCAAAAAAAAAAUGAUACGUUGAGUAUCAUAUUAUAAAUCUAA